Ktedonobacter racemifer DSM 44963 is the source of this 273-nucleotide non-coding RNA. It matches the Rfam family "HNH endonuclease-associated RNA and ORF (HEARO) RNA". Lineage: Bacteria; Bacillati; Chloroflexota; Ktedonobacteria; Ktedonobacterales; Ktedonobacteraceae. The record is from Rfam.
GUCAAUGACCGCCGGUCGGAGACCGGAGGCUUGGGAGAGCCUGGCUCUUGCAAGCCGAUUGACCAGACCAGGUUCUUGAGAGAGCGUUGCCGAGCUUCUCUGCGUCACCGCUCCCGCUGAGAGAACGUCGAUGCUUCCAAGUGUUCAAGAUCGUACUGGCGGGUGCUGCCCCAGCCUGCCACCCUACAACGGCUUCUUUAAAACAGGUGAUGAGGUCAGUCCCAGUGAGAAGCCGAAAGUACCGAGAGGCAUCAUGGUCGAGGGGAAGAGAAU